GUUCCGGAUGUAGUCGUUGAUUUCCGUAUCCGGCCUCGGGCACGUCCGUUCAUGAUCGGAGUCUUUCGGAUAGACUCGGGCUCUGUAGCGUAGUCUAAAGCGAAGAGGAGCGUUUAUGCUUCUAGCAGGCUCAGAUCUGAAACUCUCAUCCCCUGGAACCACCCACACUGCCCUAUUGAACAAGACUCAGAGUGGAAGGUGAAGCAGAACCGCCAGGACCUGCCUCAGCUAAUCACUGCUUCCUGAGCAGCUGCCCCCUGGAUGCUGGAGAUUACCUGUUUCUUGGAUCCUGAGAGAUUCUUUUCGGUGUUUGACCUGUACUUUCAGCCAAGCCAGCUCACUGUAGCAAAGCCUCCAUUCAGAUUGUGAUAGCAGCAUCAGCCAACACGACAGAGAAUGGAUGACUCAGUGCAGGGUAAUGUUCUGGACAAGAAGACACCCAUGGAGAGGACUAGGCAGUGCCUUGGAGCCCACUUUACUACCUGCUUUCUGCUCUACAGCCUGCCUGCCCCAGCAGUGACAGGUUCCUCAAACACCUGACCACUAAGAACACCCCGGACUGUGGUGUUCCAGAGCCCCUGCAUCUACAGGCUCACUGCAGCACAUUUCUGUCCACAGGCGGCUUUUCAACAGCCUAAGUCUGGUCUAAGCCACCCCCACCCCACCCCACCCCUCCAGCUACCAAAACCUAGACUUCAGCUUCACAGGUAAUUGAACAACAGAAGAAAUGCUACUGGGAGUGCCUGAUGAGUCAGUAGCCUCUGCUUGACCAUCCAAGAACGCAGCUCCUUUACACGUGCCCAGACACUGCAUCGCUUACCAUCCUUUUGUGUUCGUUCACGGAAACUCAGUGAAGUGCUUGAAAAAAAAUCAUGCCUGUCUGUGAACAGUACCUUAAAUGAAACAAUAUUUGGACAGUCCAAAUAUGAUUGAUGCAAAUGACUGUUAACAUAUGCACUAUACAAUAGUUGACUUUUUCAACACCACAGAUUUCCAACGGAAGUACAUGGUACUUUCUACAUUCGUAAAAUGCACAAUUAUUGGCUUGAAAAACCAGCAGAUGGUGAUACAUAAUUUCUACUAUUCAAUACAAAGACAGCACCUUACAGGAUCCCAUAAGGACCACUAGUGGGGGCCCAUCUCUCAUCACUGCAAGAAAAUAAUUAUUCAAAUAAACCUUACUGAUGUCUAGAAUAAAGUAGUUAUGGUAGAGCAACUAUACAGUAUUAUCCGGGGCAUUAAAAACCAUACAUUUGGCUUUUCUAAGAGCCAAAAAAGAGGACUUAUUACUAGGGUUGGAAAACACACUUGAGGUUCCUUUUAUGUUGUUGGAAUUUCCUGGAAUAGAACACAGAUGUUUGUGGUCACAGCACUCAUGGGGAAUUCUCUGUACUACGUUCACUUGAGUGUACCAAUGAGUAGUCCUGCCAGUGCACUACAUGCGUAUUUGCAUCUGUACUCCUGCUUGUGCACCACAGCCUUACAAGCUGUGUUUGCAUGUGCUCAUUUCCAGCAGGAGUGGGAAACACAUGGGUCACGUGUAGCCCACCAUCACUUUGUGCACAGGGCCCUGAGCCCCACUACUAAAAUGUUGCAGGAAGCACAUGCCAUUUUCUAGCAAAUCAGGCUUCCGUCAACUUGAUGGGAUUGUGGUGGCAGACACUUCCAUUGGGGAAGGGACAGGGGGUGCAGCCCCAUAAACUGCCCACUCAAUUUACCUCCAUUUGGUCACAUGCUAGUGUGAUUUGCUCCAUUAAUCUCCCCGGAAAUCAUUCCUUUUCUCAAACCCAUCUGAGAGAAAGAGGCCUAAAGGCAGUGGAUGAAUAUGGCAGACAACAAUCUUUAGCUGCCACAAAACUCAAACUCUUCUUAAAAGAAAUUAGCAUGCUAGCACACAGAAAGUCCUCAUUAACAAAAAUCAUGUCGGAAGAGCUAUUAAAAAGAAGGCCUUCUUGUAGGAGGUACAAGAACUUGGAAGCCAAACAGACAAUGUGGAUUGCACAUUACUGAGGAUACAGGGUAAACUUCAAGCUCUUCUUCAUUAGCUGGCUGGCAGGACUGUAACACAAGUCUAAAUCAAUUCUGUUCUCCUGUUACACUGUACAACUUUGUUAACAUAAAGGAUGCUAAUAGACUUUU
Long non-coding RNA from Varanus komodoensis (Komodo dragon), 2139 nucleotides. RefSeq lists it as uncharacterized. The transcript is spliced from 2 exons. The record is from RefSeq and is a predicted model, not a curated record. Lineage: Eukaryota; Metazoa; Chordata; Lepidosauria; Squamata; Varanidae.